GGUGGCUCAGUGGUAGAGCUCUUGCCUUGCAGGCAUAAGGCCCUGGGUUCGAUUCCUCAGCACCA
Molecule: transfer RNA, 65 nt
Filed under: Dipodomys ordii (Ord's kangaroo rat)
Lineage: Eukaryota; Metazoa; Chordata; Mammalia; Rodentia; Heteromyidae
Rfam family: tRNA
About the family: Transfer RNA (tRNA) molecules are approximately 80 nucleotides in length. Their secondary structure includes four short double-helical elements and three loops (D, anti-codon, and T loops). Further hydrogen bonds mediate the characteristic L-shaped molecular structure. tRNAs have two regions of fundamental functional importance: the anti-codon, which is responsible for specific mRNA codon recognition, and the 3' end, to which the tRNAs corresponding amino acid is attached (by aminoacyl-tRNA synthetases). tRNAs cope with the degeneracy of the genetic code in two manners: having more than one tRNA (with a specific anti-codon) for a particular amino acid; and 'wobble' base-pairing, i.e. permitting non-standard base-pairing at the 3rd anti-codon position.
Source: Rfam by way of RNAcentral